CCUACGGGAGGCAGCAGUGAGGAAUAUUGGUCAAUGGCCGAGAGGCUGAACCAGCCAAGUCGCGUGAGGGAUGACGGCCCUACGGGUUGUAAACCUCUUUUGUCGGGGAGCAAAGAGAGUCACGUGUGGCUCAUUGAGAGUACCCGAAGAAAAAGCAUCGGCUAACUCCGUGCCAGCAGCCGCGGUAAUACGGAGGAUGCGAGCGUUAUCCGGAUUUAUUGGGUUUAAAGGGUGCGCAGGCGGAGGGGCAAGUCAGUGGGCAAAUUGCGGGGCUCAACCCCGUACUGCCGUUGAAACUGCAUCCCUUGAGUGCGCGAGAAGUAUGCGGAAUGCGUGGUGUAGCGGUGAAAUGCAUAGAUAUCACGCAGAACUCCGAUUGCGAAGGCAGCAUACCGGCGCGCAACUGACGCUCAUGCACGAAAGCGUGGGUAUCGAACAGGAUUAGAUACCCUUGUAGUC
This 459-nucleotide ribosomal RNA is filed under the name uncultured bacterium. RNAcentral describes it as "partial 16S ribosomal RNA". It matches the Rfam family "Bacterial small subunit ribosomal RNA", at positions 338 to 795 of the family's 1533-position model. The record is from RNAcentral.